AUUGAACGCUGGCGGCAGGCCUAACACAUGCAAGUCGAGCGGAAGAAGGGAGCUUGCUCCUGGAUUCAGCGGCGGACGGGUGAGUAAUGCCGAGGAAUCUGCCUGGCAGUGGGGGAUAACGUCCGGAAACGGGCGCUAAUACCGCAUACGUCCAGAGGGAGAAAGUGGGGGAGCUUCGGACCUCGCGCUAUCAGAUGAGCCUAGGUCGGAUUAGCUAGUUGGUGGGGUAAAGGCCUACCAAGGCGACGAUCCGUAACUGGUCUGAGAGGAUGAUCAGUCACACUGGAACUGAGACACGGUCCAGACUCCUACGGGAGGCAGCAGUGGGGAAUAUUGGACAAUGGGCGAAAGCCUGAUCCAGCCAUGCCGCGUGUGUGAAGAAGGUCUUCGGAUUGUAAAGCACUUUUAGUUGGGAGGAAGAGCAGUAGGUUAAUACCUUGCUGUUUUGACGUUACCAACAGAAUAAGCACCGGCUAACUUCGUG
This 484-nucleotide ribosomal RNA is filed under the name uncultured bacterium. RNAcentral describes it as "partial 16S ribosomal RNA". It matches the Rfam family "Bacterial small subunit ribosomal RNA", at positions 30 to 507 of the family's 1533-position model. The record is from RNAcentral.